CUCGUAGGCGGUUUGGUAAGUCAGGUGUGAAAUCCCCAGGCUCAACCUGGGGCUGCCAUCUGAUACUGCCAUGACUUGAGUCCGGUAGGGGACCACGGAAUUCCAGGUGUAGCGGUGAAAUGCGCAGAUAUCUGGAGGAACACCAGUAGCGAAGGCGGUGGUCUGGGCCGGCACUGACGCUGAGGAGCGAAAGCGCGGGGAGCGAACAGGAUUAGAUACCCUGGUAGUCCACGCCGUAAACGUUGGGCACUAGGUGUGGGGACUAUUCAACGGUUUCCGCGCCGCAGCUAACGCAUUAAGUGCCCCGCCUGGGGAGUACGGCCGCAAGGCUAAA
Molecule: ribosomal RNA, 334 nt
Filed under: uncultured bacterium
Lineage: Bacteria
Description: bacterial SSU rRNA
Rfam family: Bacterial small subunit ribosomal RNA
Source: RNAcentral